GCUGACUCUACACGUUUGCAUCCUUCCUCACGGGAACGCGUAGAAGGAAUUUCUUCUGCAAUCUUUUUCUGAAAAUCUGCUAUCUUCAAACAUGGAAAUUAGUCCGUUUGACCACCCGAAUCCAUCCCAAAGCCCCCGGGACCUCAACCAAAAAACCCAACCUACUCUAAAACACCAAACAAACUUGUUCCAAUCAUAAAAACACACACAACAACACCAAAAUCAUCAAAUUACCAGGGAUUCAAACCUAACUUUUCAUAAAACUUCUGAAACAAAGNNNNNNNNCUUUUUGACCACCCGAAUCCAUCCCGAGGCCCCCGGGACCUCAACCAAAAACACCAACCUACUCUAAAACACCAUACGAACUUGUUCCAAUCAUAAAAACAGAAACAACAACACAAAAAUCAUCAAAUUACCACGGAUUCAAUCUUAAAUUUUCUUAAAACUUUUGAAACUCAUAUUCGAUCAAAAACUCGACCAAACGACAUCCGAAUGACCUAAAAAUUUGCAGACAUAUCCAAAGUCACCUAACGAAGCUACUACAACUCUCAGAAUUUCAUUUCAACCCUCGGACCAAAAUCUCACCUAUAAACCGGAAUCCGCCAAAAUUCAAACUUCGCCAAUUCAAGCAUAAUUCCACACCGGACCUCCAAAUUCAAUUCUGAUCGCUCGCCUAAGUCACAAAUCAUCUCUCGAAGCUAACCGAACAAUCGAAAAUUACAUCCGAGCCUUCUAACUCACAAGUCAACUUCCGGUUGACUUUUCCAAAACAGGCUUCCUUCUAAGAGGCCAUGCGCCUUAUUUUCAACCAAAACCAGUUCAAUUACACUCGGUCGACUCUAAUACUGAUAUUGAAACAUGAAGCAACACAACAAGGGGGAAACGAAGCAUUAACACAUAAGUCGACGGGUCGGGUCUUCACACACGUUAUUAGCUUUGGGGAAGGCCGUGAAAUUCACUAAACGGCCCAUCCCAAAAUUUAAGUAUUUUAAUACAAACAUUUAUUGAGGGCCCUGCAAUUUACGUGUUUUAUUGAGGGCCCUUAAAUUUGAAUACCAUUAUCUGGACGUUGGCCUUCUAUACAUUGAAGUACUGGUUUCCAUUUUAAACCAUGAUGCAGGGAAUUUCAAAUCUCAUAAAACUCGAUCAUCUCAACUAAAGCCCAAAACAGUUUGACGCCUAAACCAAAUGGAUUUGAUUCUAAUUCUAAAGUUCAGACUUCCUUAUCUAUAUCUUCUGAUGAGUUUCUGAAUAUCAACAGCAAUUUUAAGUUUAUUUAUUACUAAAGGCAAAAAACAACUAAAAAUAUAGACUAGAUUCGACAAAAUGCUCAUGAAUGUAAACCUCAAAUAUAUAAACUGAACAACUUGAUUACUUCAUUAACUAUUAUAGCUUUCAAAUUUACUAACACACUCAUUUAAUAUCCCAAACAACCCUAUGACUGAUUGAAAUUAAAAUAACUACUGGAAACCUUUACUAAUCAUGACUUGGUUCUACCAUCCUACAACGAAAAUAACUAACUCAUGUCUAACUAAUAACACUCACACAAAUCGGAGAAAAAUAGUCUCACACAGUCCAAUAUGAAUCAAACAGUCCAAACAAUUUAGAAGUAAUCCUAAUUAAAGUCCAAAUCAUUACAGUCGACUAUAAUGAAAACAUCGCAACAAUUGGAGCUUCCAUUAGAAUUAUGCUUCCAUUUCAUUUCAUUUCAGCUGAAGAUCUACAUGAUUCUAAGAUUCAGGAUAGGUACCCGGGUGUUAAAUCACAGUAAGAAGAAGGUAAGAAGAAGCAGCAACAGAGGUUAUAUAACAGCUCAAAUUAGAGUUCACAGCUUCAACAAACAAUAUCAAUACUAAUCUAGAAUUGCAUUCCGAGAGGGACAGUAUCAAUAAUAAACCAAAUGAACUUGAAGAAAACCCAGACAAACUCAGAACUAGACCAGGACCACUUCUGAAAUCAACAGCUAAUAAAAACAGCCUGAAACAGUCUCACUAGAACCCAAACCCACUCGAGAUGCACUCAGGAAUCUCCAGAAAAUUUCAGUAACCAAACUAUAGACUAAAUGUUGCAAAUCAAAUACCGAAAUUCAAAAUCAACCUGAAAACUUUCAAUAGAACUGUUUUUUUGAUUUUCUGUAGUUUCUGUUUUUGUAUUUUUGUUUUCUGUUGGGAUGAACUAAGAUCUAAAGAGCUUUGAAUUUUGAAUUCAAAUUUAAGAUCUGCUGAAAUUAUAUAGACUAUUUUUUGGGCGGA
Molecule: long non-coding RNA, 2252 nt
Filed under: Nicotiana benthamiana
Lineage: Eukaryota; Viridiplantae; Streptophyta; Magnoliopsida; Solanales; Solanaceae
Description: long non-coding RNA (NBEN_LNC037579)
Source: RNAcentral